GCAUACCACUAACAUUAUUAUAUAUUAAAUAACUUCGCAACAAAUUCUUCUUUCUUUAUGUCAUUUUUGGAAAUGCUUAAAGGAAAAAAUGGAAUUCAUGUGAAAAAUCGUGUCGCAAGUCAUGAACAUAAUAAGUUAAUACAAAAAAUACCAAAGAAAUAGAGGGAUAUCAAUGUCUAUGAUAAACACUUUGAUCAUGAUCAGUAAAGAAAUUGAAACAUCGAAGUAGAACAUAUACAAUUAACAAUAUCUAUAAGAAAGUAUUACGUACAAGAUAAUCAUAUCACAUAUUUACACAUAAUAAUAUAACUAAUAAACUCAUUUUAUACCUUGCAUAUCUAACUAAAUUAUAUGUUUACACUUUCAGGUUUAGAAGACAUCGAAUAAUCAACUCAUGAAAGAAAAUCUGACUAUUCUUCAAAUUGAGCAUGUAAUGUCUUUUCACAUUAAAUUUUCUAUUAAUCAUUAUGCAUAUAUUGUAAUAUUAUGUUUAUCUAUAUAUACUAAUUUACUUGACACAAUCACUCAUCAAAGACUUGUUUAAAUUAUCUAUAUCGUUAUAAAAAAUUAUUAUCGAUUGAAUCGGGAU
RNAcentral lists this long non-coding RNA (589 nucleotides) under Solanum tuberosum (potato). RNAcentral's name for it is "long non-coding RNA (STUB_LNC007268)". The record is from RNAcentral. Lineage: Eukaryota; Viridiplantae; Streptophyta; Magnoliopsida; Solanales; Solanaceae.